RNAcentral lists this ribosomal RNA (397 nucleotides) under uncultured bacterium. RNAcentral describes it as "partial 16S ribosomal RNA". It matches the Rfam family "Bacterial small subunit ribosomal RNA", at positions 523 to 918 of the family's 1533-position model. The record is from RNAcentral.
AUACGUAGGGUGCGAGCGUUGUCCGGAAUUACUGGGCGUAAAGAGCUCGUAGGUGGUUUGUCGCGUCGUCUGUGAAAUUCCGGGGCUUAACUCCGGGCGUGCAGGCGAUACGGGCAUAACUUGAGUACUGUAGGGGAGACUGGAAUUCCUGGUGUAGCGGUGAAAUGCGCAGAUAUCAGGAGGAACACCGGUGGCGAAGGCGGUUCUCGGGCAGUAACUGCCGCUGAGGAGCGAAAGCAUGGUUAGCGAACAGGAUUAGAUACCCUGGUAGUCCAUGCCGUAAACGGUGGGCGCUAGGUGUAGGGGUCUUCCACGACUUCUGUGCCGUAGCUAACGCAUUAAGCGCCCCGCCUGGGGAGUACGGCCGCAAGGCUAAAACUCAAAUGAAUUGACGGGG